Molecule: ribosomal RNA, 285 nt
Filed under: uncultured Rhogostoma
Lineage: Eukaryota; Cercozoa; Thecofilosea; Cryomonadida
Description: partial 18S ribosomal RNA
Rfam family: Eukaryotic small subunit ribosomal RNA (bases 103-285)
Source: RNAcentral
GACUUCUGGUUUAAUGCACCUGCCCGCAGCCAACAGGUUUGUGAGUGCCGGCGCGCGUUUACCAUCCUUCCAGGAAACGAGUCUUCCCUUAACUGGGCCGGACUCGGGAUCUGGAUCAUUUACUUUGAAAAAAUUAGAGUGUUUAAAGCAGGCUUUUGCUAUGAAUACAUUAGCAUGGAAUAAUAAUCUAGGACUUGGGUUUCAAAAACUGAAGUAAUGAUUGAUAUUGGCCGGUCAGAGGUGAAAUUCUUGGAUUCGGUCAAGACUAACUUAUGCGAAAGCAUU